This 305-nucleotide ribosomal RNA is filed under the name uncultured bacterium. Its description in RNAcentral is "bacterial SSU rRNA". It matches the Rfam family "Bacterial small subunit ribosomal RNA", at positions 334 to 635 of the family's 1533-position model. The record is from RNAcentral.
UACAUCCUACGGGGGGCAGCAGUGAGGAAUAUUGGUCAAUGGCCGGGAGGCUGAACCAGCCAAGUCGCGUGAGGGAAGACGGCCCUACGGGUUGUAAACCUCUUUUGUCAGGGAGCAAGGUGCAGGUCGGGACCUGCUGUGAGAGUACCUGAAGAAAAAGCAUCGGCUAACUCCGUGCCAGCAGCCGCGGUAAUACGGAGGAUCCAAGCGUUAUCCGGAUUUAUUGGGUUUAAAGGGUGCGUAGGCGGAUUGAUAAGUUAGAGGUGAAAUGUCCGAGCUCAACUCGGGAACUGCCUCUAAUACUG